GUUAUUCAAAUGCUCAUUCUACAUUGAAAUCAGCAUGGAAUGUGUAAUAACAGGAAAGAGAAAUAUACAGACUCUCUGUGCUUGGCAUGGCAAUGUGUCACGUGGCUUGAAAAGGCGUCAAGUGAAUAGAGAAGAUUCUAUGGAUGUAGAAGAGGUCCCUGGGUUUCCGAAUUGCCACUGGAUUGCCUCUAUCAAAUACGCAAGAGUUUCAUGAGUGAGAAAUAACCUUCUGCUGCUUUAAAUCUUGGGUUGUGCAAUACAUCAGUGAGCCUACCAUGACCAAUACAUUCUAUGGAUGCAGAUUUCUCUUCUCUGGCCGUUGACAUGAGUGUGCUUUCUGGAUGCAGUCACAGGGGACCCAAGAUUCUUGGACAGAAUUCUCGCCGGGAGCCAACUCAGCCUGAUCUGCUGGCAUCUCUCAAGUAUCAGAAGUCAACAAAAUGGUUUGCCUUGAAGACUUGGCCAGAGCAGCAGCCAAAGUUCAUCAGGCUUUCGUAGAGAGAUUGUUGGUGUAAGAAAACAAAAUUCUAAGGGCUCCCAUUGUGCAGCUGGGGUGGCAAAAUGCAAACUAAUAUAAGGAAAAAAAAUGCUUUUCAUUUCCAUGGAAGAAAUGACCCAUCCUAUUGUUGAUAUUUCCUUUUCUGUGCUAACUUAUUCCAUUAGGCUCUCAUUUUAUGAGAUAAUUUCACUGCAUGCGUAUCUUCUUUUGGUUAUUACACAAGGACUGUUUUCUAUGGUUCAUAUCUAAGUCCAACCCUGGAAAAAUCUUUUUUUUUGAGACAGACUUUUUUGUUUUGUUUUGAGACAAUACUCCCUCUAUUGCCCAGGCUGGAAUGCAGUGGUGAGAUCAUAGCUCACUGCAACUUCUGCCUCCUAGGCUCAAACAAUCCUCCCACCUCAGCCUCCCAAGUAGCUGGGAUUGCAGGCAUGUGCCAUCAGACCCGGCUAAUUUUUGGAUUUUUAGUAAAGUUUUGCCAUGUUGGCCAGGCUGAUCUUGAACUCCUGCCCUCAAGUGAUCUGCCCACCUUGGCCUCCCAAAGUGCUGGGAUUACAGGUGUGAGCUACCGUGCCCAGCUCAGCCAUGGAACAAUCUUGAUGUAUAAUUUAUCUGCAGGUAUCUCCAUCUCUAUUUGCCACUCUUAGUAAAUGUUUUAGUUUGACAGUAAACGAGUUGAGACAUUAAUGAUUGAAAGAGCACCUAAGCAGCCUGAAGUGCUGGGAGUCUGUCCUAAAGAAUUAGAUGCACACAGCUUUUUUCCCUUACAGACACUUUACUGAGCAGUCAUGUUGGACUUGGGUGGCAUCUGCUAUUAGACACACUAUUCACCAAUAAAACCCUGAAAAUUGCAUUGCACAGGACUGAUAAAAAUAAGAUGACUCAAGAUACGUAUUUAUGGUAUAUAUACACAGAAAAAGAAUGAAAGUUUGAGGGGGUAUUGCCUCUGGGAGGAAGAGUUAUGAGUAGUUUGUAUUUCCUUUUUUGUUAAUCUGUAUUUCAUUUUUUAGGCAAUGCAAAUAUAUUAUUUAGACAACAAAAUACUUAUUAGAAAGAAAAGACAUGCUGGGUUUUUUCCCCUUUAUUCUUUGCUUUUCUAAGAGGAAACUUUGACAAUUGCUUGUGAGUGAUACCUGUGUUCUGGUAGCUUAGGAAGACAGAAUGUGGUUAGGGAAGGAUAAGAACAGGUGGCUUCAAUAAAUGUACUCAAGGCUAAUGUACCC
This is a long non-coding RNA of Pan troglodytes (chimpanzee), 1719 nucleotides long. RefSeq lists it as uncharacterized. NCBI's taxonomy places the organism in Eukaryota, Metazoa, Chordata, Mammalia, Primates, Hominidae. The record is from RefSeq and is a predicted model, not a curated record. The transcript has 3 exons.